UUGGGGGGCAGGGUGGGAUGAGGUCUAUAUACUGCAGUAGUUAUGAAUCAAGUAGGCAGAUGAUUCUGUGUGUUAACAGAUGGGCCGAGUAUUAUGUUUCUAUAGCUCACUUUGGUCAUUAAAACAGUUAUUUUCUUAAAUAUGAACAAGCUUUCAAAAGUUUGAGACAGUCCUGUACUAAGAAUCCAGUUAUACUUGUGACAAGGUCUUAUAAUUACCUUCUGAAGACCAAUUAAAAUAACAUUGUUGGAACUAAUACUGAAUGGCUAGUUAAUUCUUUAAUACAUCCAUCUGCCAAGAAAAACGCUUGAUAAUAUCUGAAUUUAAGAAAGAAUGGUACAUAAAAUCUUCUGGGAGAGACAAUUAUACAGACUGUUCCAAACCCUGAAGGAUAACUAUGUAUAAUGAAAAGUCCAAAAAGCUGAUAUUAAUUAAAUGGAUUUACUUUAAACUUCAAAAACAAUCACUACUAGGACUUUUGAAGUUCUUUGGGUUGAUUAGUUACUAUAUAUAACUAUGGAAGAUUUAUGCUUAACAAACAAACACACACUUUUAAAGGCAGGCAU
Molecule: long non-coding RNA, 566 nt
Filed under: Bos taurus (domestic cattle)
Lineage: Eukaryota; Metazoa; Chordata; Mammalia; Artiodactyla; Bovidae
Description: long non-coding RNA NONBTAT016238
Source: RNAcentral